This 474-nucleotide ribosomal RNA is filed under the name uncultured bacterium. RNAcentral's name for it is "partial 16S ribosomal RNA". It matches the Rfam family "Bacterial small subunit ribosomal RNA", at positions 28 to 507 of the family's 1533-position model. The record is from RNAcentral.
GACGAACGCUGGCGGCGUGCUUAACACAUGCAAGUCGAACGGUAAGGCCCUUCGGGGUACACGAGUGGCGAACGGGUGAGUAACACGUGGGUAAUCUGCCCUGCACAUCGGGAUAAGCCUGGGAAACUGGGUCUAAUACCGAAUAGGACCACAGGACACAUGUCCUGUGGUGGAAAGCUUUUGCGGUGUGGGAUGGGCCCGCGGCCUAUCAGCUUGUUGGUGGGGUGAUGGCCUACCAAGGCGACGACGGGUAGCCGGCCUGAGAGGGUGUCCGGCCACACUGGGACUGAGAUACGGCCCAGACUCCUACGGGAGGCAGCAGUGGGGAAUAUUGCACAAUGGGCGAAAGCCUGAUGCAGCGGCGCCGCGUGGGGGAUGACGGCCUUCGGGUUGUAAACCUCUUUCACCAUCGACGAAGGUCCGGGUUUUCUCGGGCUGACGGUAGGUGGAGAAGAAGCACCGGCCAACUACGUG